Melitaea cinxia (Glanville fritillary) is the source of this 257-nucleotide long non-coding RNA. RefSeq lists it as uncharacterized. The transcript is spliced from 3 exons. The record is from RefSeq and is a predicted model, not a curated record. Lineage: Eukaryota; Metazoa; Arthropoda; Insecta; Lepidoptera; Nymphalidae.
UUUAUUCUUUAAAUCUUAUUUUAUAUGUUAUUUGGUUAAUAUAAUAAUAAUGAACGCCCAACAAACUGGGCACAGGUCGGCUUGUUUGUAUAUAAAUAUGUAUAUAUUUAUUUUUUUCUAAAAUAAAGUAAAAUAAUGAUUUAUAAGCAAGCGCAUCACCUGUAGUGUAGUGAUAGAUAACUAUUAUGUUUGUCUUAGUAAAUAAGUUAUAAUAUCUCAUGUAUUUUGAGUAGAUAAUAAAUAUGAUCGUUGAACUA